AGAAUCAACGCUGGCGGCGUGCCUAACACAUGCAAGUCGAACGAGAAAGUGGAGCAAUCCAUGAGUAAAGUGGCGCACGGGUGAGUAACACGUGACUAACCUACCUUUUAGUGGGGGAUAACCUAGGGAAACCUGGGCUAAUACCGCAUAAUACCUACGGGUCAAAGCAGCAAUGCGCUGAAAGAGGGGGUCGCGGUCGAUUAGUUAGUUGGCAGGGUAAUGGCCUACCAAGACUGUGAUCGAUAUCCGGCCUGAGAGGGCGCACGGACACACUGGAACUGAAACACGGUCCAGACUCCUACGGGAGGCAGCAGUGGGGAAUUUUGCGCAAUGGGGGAAACCCUGACGCAGCAACGCCGCGUGGAGGAUGAAGUCCCUUGGGACGUAAACUCCUUUCGAUCGGGACGAUAAUGACGGUACCGGAAGAAGAAGCCCGGCUAACUUCGUGCCAGCAGCCGC
This 459-nucleotide ribosomal RNA is filed under the name uncultured bacterium. RNAcentral's name for it is "SSU rRNA". It matches the Rfam family "Bacterial small subunit ribosomal RNA", at positions 26 to 518 of the family's 1533-position model. The record is from RNAcentral.